Molecule: small nucleolar RNA, 281 nt
Filed under: Neogobius melanostomus (round goby)
Lineage: Eukaryota; Metazoa; Chordata; Actinopteri; Gobiiformes; Gobiidae
Source: RNAcentral
UACAUGCAGUCUCGUGAAACAGCCCCUCGCAUAUUCUGUUGCUGGUGGGUUACACAAGGCUGCAUAAAUUGAAACAAGGAAUGAAAAGGCAUGACUUCUGGAGGCUCAGGAGUUCCAUGUGCGAUGUUCCUUGGACAGGCUGACCCCUGCUUCCCACGGUGGUGAUGGCUCCACAUGUAGCCACGACCUUUCUUGAGGCAGGCAGAGUGAUACAAGACAACAGCUGGAUAUUGUCUACCAGGGUGAGCUCUUCCUGUCAGACACAGUGCGCUGUCACAAUC